GGGGAUGUGACUCAGUGGUAGAGCACUUGCCUAUCAUGUGGGAAGCACUGGGUUCAAUCCCCAGCACCACA
This 71-nucleotide transfer RNA is filed under the name Marmota monax (woodchuck). RNAcentral's name for it is "tRNA.Asp". It matches the Rfam family "tRNA". Rfam says of the family: Transfer RNA (tRNA) molecules are approximately 80 nucleotides in length. Their secondary structure includes four short double-helical elements and three loops (D, anti-codon, and T loops). Lineage: Eukaryota; Metazoa; Chordata; Mammalia; Rodentia; Sciuridae. The record is from RNAcentral.